This 557-nucleotide ribosomal RNA is filed under the name uncultured Bradyrhizobiaceae bacterium. RNAcentral describes it as "bacterial SSU rRNA". It matches the Rfam family "Bacterial small subunit ribosomal RNA", at positions 102 to 694 of the family's 1533-position model. Lineage: Bacteria; Pseudomonadati; Pseudomonadota; Alphaproteobacteria; Hyphomicrobiales; Nitrobacteraceae. The record is from RNAcentral.
ACGGGUGAGUAACGCGUGGGAACGUACCUUUUGGUUCGGAACAACUGAGGGAAACUUCAGCUAAUACCGGAUAAGCCCUUACGGGGAAAGAUUUAUCGCCGAAAGAUCGGCCCGCGUCUGAUUAGCUAGUUGGUGAGGUAAUGGCUCACCAAGGCGACGAUCAGUAGCUGGUCUGAGAGGAUGAUCAGCCACAUUGGGACUGAGACACGGCCCAAACUCCUACGGGAGGCAGCAGUGGGGAAUAUCGGACAAUGGGCGAAAGCCUGAUCCAGCCAUGCCGCGUGAGUGAUGAAGGCCCUAGGGUUGUAAAGCUCUUUUGUGCGGGAAGAUAAUGACGGUACCGCAAGAAUAAGCCCCGGCUAACUUCGUGCCAGCAGCCGCGGUAAUACGAAGGGGGCUAGCGUUGCUCGGAAUCACUGGGCGUAAGGGGUGCGUAGGCGGGUUCUUAAGUCAGAGGUGAAAUCCUGGAGCUCAACUCCAGAACUGCCUUUGAUACUGAGAGUCUUGAGUAUGACAGAGGUGAGUGGAACUGCGAGUGUAGAGGUGAAAUUCGUAGA